ACGAACGCUGGCGGCAGGCUUAACACAUGCAAGUCGAACGCUCGACCUUCGGGUCGGGAGUGGCAGACGGGUGAGUAACGCGUGGGAACGUACCCUUCGGUUCGGAAUAACCCAGGGAAACUUGGGCUAAUACCGGAUACGUCCUGGCCUGGAGACAGGGUGGGAGAAAGGUUUACUGCCGAAGGAUCGGCCCGCGUCGGAUUAGCUAGUUGGUGGGGUAACGGCCCACCAAGGCGACGAUCCGUAGCUGGUCUGAGAGGAUGAUCAGCCACACUGGGACUGAGACACGGCCCAGACUCCUACGGGAGGCAGCAGUGGGGAAUAUUGGACAAUGGGCGAAAGCCUGAUCCAGCCAUGCCGCGUGAGUGAAGAAGGCCUUAGGGUUGUAAAGCUCUUUCAGCGGGGACGAUAAUGACGGUACCCGCAGAAGAAGUCCCGGCUAACUUCGUGCCAGCAGCCGCGGUAA
This 466-nucleotide ribosomal RNA is filed under the name uncultured bacterium. RNAcentral's name for it is "bacterial SSU rRNA". It matches the Rfam family "Bacterial small subunit ribosomal RNA", at positions 29 to 523 of the family's 1533-position model. The record is from RNAcentral.